Molecule: ribosomal RNA, 253 nt
Filed under: uncultured bacterium
Lineage: Bacteria
Description: partial 16S ribosomal RNA
Rfam family: Bacterial small subunit ribosomal RNA
Source: RNAcentral
UACGUAGGGUGCGAGCGUUGUCCGGAAUUACUGGGCGUAAAGGGCUUGUAGGUGGUUUGUCGCGUUGUUCGUGAAAACUCACAGCUUAACUGUGGGCGUGCGGGCGAUACGGGCAGACUGGAGUACUGCAGGGGAGACUGGAAUUCCUGGUGUAGCGGUGAAAUGCGCAGAUAUCAGGAGGAACACCGGUGGCGAAGGCGGGUCUCUGGGCAACAACUGACGCUGAGGAGCGAAAGCGUGGGGAGCGAACAGG